RNAcentral lists this ribosomal RNA (1404 nucleotides) under Klebsiella sp. RNAcentral's name for it is "bacterial SSU rRNA". It matches the Rfam family "Bacterial small subunit ribosomal RNA". The record is from RNAcentral. Lineage: Bacteria; Pseudomonadati; Pseudomonadota; Gammaproteobacteria; Enterobacterales; Enterobacteriaceae.
UGCAGUCGAGCGGUAGCACAGAGAGCUUGCUCUCGGGUGACGAGCGGCGGACGGGUGAGUAAUGUCUGGGAAACUGCCUGAUGGAGGGGGAUAACUACUGGAAACGGUAGCUAAUACCGCAUAACGUCGCAAGACCAAAGUGGGGGACCUUCGGGCCUCAUGCCAUCAGAUGUGCCCAGAUGGGAUUAGCUGGUAGGUGGGGUAACGGCUCACCUAGGCGACGAUCCCUAGCUGGUCUGAGAGGAUGACCAGCCACACUGGAACUGAGACACGGUCCAGACUCCUACGGGAGGCAGCAGUGGGGAAUAUUGCACAAUGGGCGCAAGCCUGAUGCAGCCAUGCCGCGUGUGUGAAGAAGGCCUUCGGGUUGUAAAGCACUUUCAGCGGGGAGGAAGGCGGUGAGGUUAAUAACCUUAUCGAUUGACGUUACCCGCAGAAGAAGCACCGGCUAACUCCGUGCCAGCAGCCGCGGUAAUACGGAGGGUGCAAGCGUUAAUCGGAAUUACUGGGCGUAAAGCGCACGCAGGCGGUCUGUCAAGUCGGAUGUGAAAUCCCCGGGCUCAACCUGGGAACUGCAUUCGAAACUGGCAGGCUAGAGUCUUGUAGAGGGGGGUAGAAUUCCAGGUGUAGCGGUGAAAUGCGUAGAGAUCUGGAGGAAUACCGGUGGCGAAGGCGGCCCCCUGGACAAAGACUGACGCUCAGGUGCGAAAGCGUGGGGAGCAAACAGGAUUAGAUACCCUGGUAGUCCACGCUGUAAACGAUGUCGAUUUGGAGGUUGUGCCCUUGAGGCGUGGCUUCCGGAGCUAACGCGUUAAAUCGACCGCCUGGGGAGUACGGCCGCAAGGUUAAAACUCAAAUGAAUUGACGGGGGCCCGCACAAGCGGUGGAGCAUGUGGUUUAAUUCGAUGCAACGCGAAGAACCUUACCUGGUCUUGACAUCCACAGAACUUAGCAGAGAUGCUUUGGUGCCUUCGGGAACUGUGAGACAGGUGCUGCAUGGCUGUCGUCAGCUCGUGUUGUGAAAUGUUGGGUUAAGUCCCGCAACGAGCGCAACCCUUAUCCUUUGUUGCCAGCGGUUAGGCCGGGAACUCAAAGGAGACUGCCAGUGAUAAACUGGAGGAAGGUGGGGAUGACGUCAAGUCAUCAUGGCCCUUACGACCAGGGCUACACACGUGCUACAAUGGCAUAUACAAAGAGAAGCGACCUCGCGAGAGCAAGCGGACCUCAUAAAGUAUGUCGUAGUCCGGAUUGGAGUCUGCAACUCGACUCCAUGAAGUCGGAAUCGCUAGUAAUCGUAGAUCAGAAUGCUACGGUGAAUACGUUCCCGGGCCUUGUACACACCGCCCGUCACACCAUGGGAGUGGGUUGCAAAAGAAGUAGGUAGCUUAACCUUCGGGAGGGCGC